UACGUAGGGUGCGAGCGUUAAUCGGAAUUACUGGGCGUAAAGCGUGCGCAGGCGGUUUUGCAAGCCGGAUGUGAAAUCCCCGGGCUUAACCUGGGAAUGGCAUUUGGGACUGCAAGGCUGGAGUGCGGCAGAGGAGACUGGAAUUCCUGGUGUAGCAGUGAAAUGCGUAGAUAUCAGGAGGAACACCGGUGGCGAAGGCGGAUCUCUGGGCCGUAACUGACGCUGAGGAGCGAAAGCAUGGGGAGCGAACAGG
Molecule: ribosomal RNA, 253 nt
Filed under: uncultured bacterium
Lineage: Bacteria
Description: partial 16S ribosomal RNA
Rfam family: Bacterial small subunit ribosomal RNA
Source: RNAcentral